Molecule: long non-coding RNA, 827 nt
Organism: Myotis daubentonii (Daubenton's bat)
Lineage: Eukaryota; Metazoa; Chordata; Mammalia; Chiroptera; Vespertilionidae
Exons: 3
Source: RefSeq, a predicted model, not a curated record
CCUGUUCCAGGGGUUCCCAAAGGUGUGGACGGAGUCGGCGAAGACUAUCCACCCUCUUCCUACGGUGGAGUCCGAUCCGUCCCGAGUGUGGGGCGCUUACCUAGGGGUCCCUGUUCGGGCGCCAGAUGCCGGGGUCCAACCCCAGCAGGUCCAGGGGUCCCCAAAGGUGUGGACGGAGUCGGCGAAGAAGGAAUGAAGGACACGGAGGCAGCGUUCAGUUGAUCAGCAUAGUUGGGUUCUCUUGUCAGGGUCUCCAGCCAGGUUCUGUAGCCAUGUUCUCUCGCUAGGUUCUCCAGCCAGGUUCGGUCGCCAGGUUCUAGUCAGGUUCUCUUGCCAUGUUCUAUCCAGGUUCUGUAGCCAGGUUCUGUCUCUAGGUUCUUCAGCCAGGUUCUGUCUCUAGGUUCUGUCUCUAGGUUCUGUGGCCAGUUUCUGUCCAGGAUCUUUUACCAUAUUCUCUCCAGCGAAGUUCUUCUGUCUCUAGGUUCUGUGUAGGUUCUGUGUCUAGGUUCUGUGUCCUGUUGUCUUGUUACAUCUGUAUUUAUACCAGUUGAUUCCAAUCCUAUCAAUCUCUAUUUCAAAGGUUAGGGCGUUUCUUAUCUCCAUUCCAAGGAGUAAAGAUUAUGUAGCUUAAGCAUGAUUAUUCGUAGUUAAAGUGAUUAAUUACCCGCCUGGCACUUAGUUGAGGGGUUUUAUUCCCUCCCUAACUUCAGGGGAAAAUCCCUACCUGGGGAAACAACCUUUCUCAGAGAGGUGACCUUGGCUAAAACACAUAGUGCCAAGAAGGUGAGCAAACAUAUCAAGAACAGUAUGCCAUAUAUGCCAGGUCC